Molecule: ribosomal RNA, 253 nt
Filed under: uncultured bacterium
Lineage: Bacteria
Description: partial 16S ribosomal RNA
Rfam family: Bacterial small subunit ribosomal RNA
Source: RNAcentral
UACGUAGGGGGCAAGCGUUGUCCGGAUUUAUUGGGCGUAAAGAGCGUGUAGGCGGCCUAGUAGAUCAGCUGUGAAAACUCGAGGCUCAACCUCGAGCUGUCGGUUGAAACCACUAGGCUAGAGUCCGGAAGAGGAGAAUGGAAUUCCCGGUGUAGCGGUGAAAUGCGCAGAUAUCGGGAAGAACACCCGUGGCGAAGGCGGUUCUCUGGGACGGUACUGACGCUGAGACGCGAAAGCGUGGGGAGCGAACAGG